UAGUUUAUCACCUAAACUUUUAUAACAACAAACACUUCCAUACUUAACCAUUUUAGCAACCAUUCAUCAUCAAAUACUUACACAUCAUUCUUUAGCAAGAUCAUAAAUACAAACAUUUAGAAUAACUAAAUCCCUAUACAUGCCAUACUCAACACGGUUCAACAUAAAAAUACCGAGUUGCUGUGGUUGAUAGUGUGGACGAUCUCCGACUUCUUUAGGAUCCUUGAAGUAGCCUUGUAAUACUAUAAGAGAAAGAGAAAUAAAAGAUGUAAGCAUAAAGCUUAGUAAGUUUACUAGCAAAUAAAUAACAAUAUUUAACUCAAAUAGUUAAACUCAAAUGUCUAUAUCUCUAGUGUACUCUUUAGUUAAUCUCAUACUAGUUCUCUUGCUUGUUUACUUAACAUACUUGUGUGCAUAACUUACUCUUCUCUUGUUGCAUCGUUGAAUAUAAAUUGUUAAUAUAAUAAAUUCUUAACUCUUAUAACUCACCUGAGCUUGCCAUUUCUUAUCUUUAACUGAACUUUCAUGUACCUCAUUCGUUUACUAGCCCAUUGAACCACAUUGGAAUAAUAAGGAUACUCGGGUCUCUUCUGAUAAUAACAUGCCAAACCAUGUCCCAGACAUGAUCUUACAUGGGAUGUUCUCAUGUUGGUGCCCAUGCCAUGUCCCAGACAUGGUCUUAUAGGGGACCUCUCAUCUCGGUGCCAACGCCAUGUCCCAGACAUGGUCUUACAUGGGACCUCUCGUCUCGGUGCCCAUGCCAUGUCCCAGACAUGGUCUUACAGGGGACCUCUCAUGAUCUUAAGGAUGCCAACGCCAUGUCCCAGACAUGGUCUUACAUGGGAUCUCUUUACCCAAAUGUCAUGACAUUCGUAUCCAGUACCAUCCUUAUGUAUCAACGGGGCUUUUUAACUUCAAUUCUCUAUCAUUUCAUGCUUGGAUCAUCAUCAAAUAAAUUCAUAAAAUAAAUUCAUAAUUUCUGGAAAAUAACAGCAUUAAUAAUAAAUAUUGAAAUAUUGCAUUUAUUUACCGUAAACUUACCUCGGUACCAAUUAUAGCCAAAUUCACCAACU
RNAcentral lists this long non-coding RNA (1073 nucleotides) under Gossypium barbadense (sea-island cotton). Its description in RNAcentral is "long non-coding RNA (GBAR_LNC015159)". Lineage: Eukaryota; Viridiplantae; Streptophyta; Magnoliopsida; Malvales; Malvaceae. The record is from RNAcentral.